RNAcentral lists this ribosomal RNA (526 nucleotides) under uncultured bacterium. RNAcentral's name for it is "bacterial SSU rRNA". It matches the Rfam family "Bacterial small subunit ribosomal RNA", at positions 355 to 894 of the family's 1533-position model. The record is from RNAcentral.
UGGGGAAUCUUGCGCAAUGGGCGAAAGCCUGACGCAGCAACGCCGCGUGGAGGACGAAGGCUUUCUGAGUUGUAAACUCCUUUCAGCAGGGACGAUAGUGACGGUACCUGCAGAAGAAGCACCGGCCAACUACGUGCCAGCAGCCGCGGUGAUACGUAGGGUGCAAGCGUUGUCCGGAUUUAUUGGGCGUAAAGGGCUCGUAGGCGGUUUGAUAAGUCGGGUGUGAAACCUCCAGGCUCAACCUGGAGCCGCCACUCGAUACUGUCAUGACUAGAAUUCGGUAGGGGACCACGGAAUUCCUGGUGUAGCGGUGAAAUGCGCAGAUAUCAGGAGGAACACCAGCAGCGAAGGCGGUGGUCUGGGCCGACAUUGACGCUGAGGAGCGAAAGCGUGGGGAGCGAACAGGAUUAGAUACCCUGGUAGUCCACGCCGUAAACGUUGGGCACUAGGUGUGGGGACUAUUCAACGGUCUCCGUGCCGCAGCUAACGCAUUAAGUGCCCCGCCUGGGGAGUACGGUCGCAAGGC